GGUUAAGCGACUAAGCGUACACGGUGGAUGCCCUGGCAGUCAGAGGCGAUGAAGGACGUGCUAAUCUGCGAUAAGCGUCGGUAAGGUGAUAUGAACCGUUAUAACCGGCGAUUUCCGAAUGGGGAAACCCAGUGUGUUUCGACACACUAUCAUUAACUGAAUCCAUAGGUUAAUGAGGCGAACCGGGGGAACUGAAACAUCUAAGUACCCCGAGGAAAAGAAAUCAACCGAGAUUCCCCCAGUAGCGGCGAGCGAACGGGGAGCAGCCCAGAGCCUGAAUCAGUGUGUGUGUUAGUGGAAGCGUCUGGAAAGGCGCGCGAUACAGGGUGACAGCCCCGUACACAAAAAUGCACAUAUUGUGAGCUCGAUGAGUAGGGCGGGACACGUGGUAUCCUGUCUGAAUAUGGGGGGACCAUCCUCCAAGGCUAAAUACUCCUGACUGACCGAUAGUGAACCAGUACCGUGAGGGAAAGGCGAAAAGAACCCCGGCGAGGGGAGUGAAAAAGAACCUGAAACCGUGUACGUACAAGCAGUGGGAGCACGCUUAGGCGUGUGACUGCGUACCUUUUGUAUAAUGGGUCAGCGACUUAUAUUCUGUAGCAAGGUUAACCGAAUAGGGGAGCCGAAGGGAAACCGAGUCUUAACUGGGCGUUAAGUUGCAGGGUAUAGACCCGAAACCCGGUGAUCUAGCCAUGGGCAGGUUGAAGGUUGGGUAACACUAACUGGAGGACCGAACCGACUAAUGUUGAAAAAUUAGCGGAUGACUUGUGGCUGGGGGUGAAAGGCCAAUCAAACCGGGAGAUAGCUGGUUCUCCCCGAAAGCUAUUUAGGUAGCGCCUCGUGAAUUCAUCUCCGGGGGUAGAGCACUGUUUCGGCAAGGGGGUCAUCCCGACUUACCAACCCGAUGCAAACUGCGAAUACCGGAGAAUGUUAUCACGGGAGACACACGGCGGGUGCUAACGUCCGUCGUGAAGAGGGAAACAACCCAGACCGCCAGCUAAGGUCCCAAAGUCAUGGUUAAGUGGGAAACGAUGUGGGAAGGCCCAGACAGCCAGGAUGUUGGCUUAGAAGCAGCCAUCAUUUAAAGAAAGCGUAAUAGCUCACUGGUCGAGUCGGCCUGCGCGGAAGAUGUAACGGGGCUAAACCAUGCACCGAAGCUGCGGCAGCGACGCUUAUGCGUUGUUGGGUAGGGGAGCGUUCUGUAAGCCUGCGAAGGUGUGCUGUGAGGCAUGCUGGAGGUAUCAGAAGUGCGAAUGCUGACAUAAGUAACGAUAAAGCGGGUGAAAAGCCCGCUCGCCGGAAGACCAAGGGUUCCUGUCCAACGUUAAUCGGGGCAGGGUGAGUCGACCCCUAAGGCGAGGCCGAAAGGCGUAGUCGAUGGGAAACAGGUUAAUAUUCCUGUACUUGGUGUUACUGCGAAGGGGGGACGGAGAAGGCUAUGUUGGCCGGGCGACGGUUGUCCCGGUUUAAGCGUGUAGGCUGGUUUUCCAGGCAAAUCCGGAAAAUCAAGGCUGAGGCGUGAUGACGAGGCACUACGGUGCUGAAGCAACAAAUGCCCUGCUUCCAGGAAAAGCCUCUAAGCAUCAGGUAACAUCAAAUCGUACCCCAAACCGACACAGGUGGUCAGGUAGAGAAUACCAAGGCGCUUGAGAGAACUCGGGUGAAGGAACUAGGCAAAAUGGUGCCGUAACUUCGGGAGAAGGCACGCUGAUAUGUAGGUGAAGUCCCU
RNAcentral lists this ribosomal RNA (1729 nucleotides) under Escherichia coli. RNAcentral describes it as "partial 23S ribosomal RNA". It matches the Rfam family "Bacterial large subunit ribosomal RNA", at positions 1 to 1769 of the family's 2925-position model. Lineage: Bacteria; Pseudomonadati; Pseudomonadota; Gammaproteobacteria; Enterobacterales; Enterobacteriaceae. The record is from RNAcentral.